UACAGAGGGUGCAAACGUUGCUCGGAAUUAUUGGGCGUAAAGCGCGUGUAGGCGGUUUAUUAGGCCAGCUGUGAAAUCCCAUGGCUCAACCAUGGAAGUGCAGCUGGAACCGGUAAACUAGAGUUCUGACGAGGGUGGCGGAAUUCCCAGUGUAGAGGUGAAAUUCGUAGAUAUUGGGAGGAACACCGGUGGCGAAGGCGGCCACCUGGGAAGAUACUGACGCUGAGACGCGAAAGCGUGGGGAGCAAACAGG
This 253-nucleotide ribosomal RNA is filed under the name uncultured bacterium. RNAcentral describes it as "partial 16S ribosomal RNA". It matches the Rfam family "Bacterial small subunit ribosomal RNA", at positions 524 to 776 of the family's 1533-position model. The record is from RNAcentral.